Molecule: long non-coding RNA, 896 nt
Organism: Bos taurus (domestic cattle)
Lineage: Eukaryota; Metazoa; Chordata; Mammalia; Artiodactyla; Bovidae
Source: Ensembl
GAAAAGAAUAAACAGCUGUAAACACUACUUUAUUAAGCACGAGUGUGUAAUUCUCUGAAAUAUUUCUUUGUGGGAAAGAGAUUCUGCCCCGCACGGCCCAAUUCAAAGCUUCCGCUAGUGCUAAGCCCAAUGUUUCCGAAUUUCCCGCUGACCGAGACUCCAGGUCCACAGAUCGCCCCUCGCAGCCGAUCCCCGACCCCGGCCCUGGCGGAGGCGGGAGACGGCUGCGGACCUGCAGCCCCGGUAGACAGAGGACCAGAGUGCGGGCCUCUCAAAGGCGGGGACUUGGUGGAAGCGGUCCAGUUCUCGCGAGGUUUCGUCCUGACCGGAGCAGGCGACAGCUCCGCGGAGAGAGUGGGUUUCGCUCACAGGAGGGAGCCGAAGGGCCCGGAGUGGUCGUUGCUACCCGGGGUCCGAGCCGGGGGAGAAGCCGUCACCUGUAAAAAGCCAGUUCUCCCUAAAGUCACCCCUGGGGAAGUCCAAGGCAGCGCUGGCCUCUUCCUUCUGCUGUGGGGGCAGCGCAGGCAAACCUUGCCGGCUAAAGAGAACCGCCCUAAGCAAAAACAUAAACACAGGUGUCCGGGCUCCCGGGGAGCUGGAGCUUAAGGUGGAUCUAGUGAAGCAAACCAGCGGCGUCUCUCCCAGGUGGUCAUCCGGUGGCUGCCCCCCAGCAUCACCAAGGAGCAGCUGGAACAGCAGCUGCACCUGCUGCCCGCACACCUUUACCGAGCUCAGAACCUUUCCUUUAGGAGAAAUUGCUGAGCUCUGCAGGAACUGUGAAUGGUGACUAUCUGGUAAUUCUAAGACUGAAAAGCAAGAGGUAAAGAGAUGGGAAAUGAGAAUUGAUGGGGAGAAGCAGGGGCAUCCAUGUUCAACCUCAGCCUGAGAGUCUGAGU